Molecule: transfer RNA, 72 nt
Filed under: Salmo salar (Atlantic salmon)
Lineage: Eukaryota; Metazoa; Chordata; Actinopteri; Salmoniformes; Salmonidae
Rfam family: tRNA
About the family: Transfer RNA (tRNA) molecules are approximately 80 nucleotides in length. Their secondary structure includes four short double-helical elements and three loops (D, anti-codon, and T loops).
Source: Rfam by way of RNAcentral
UCCCGUGUGGCUCAGUUGGUAGAGUAUGGUGUUUGCAACGCCAGGGUUGUGGGUUUGAUUCCCACAGGGGAC